GACGAACGCUGGCGGCGUGCUUAACACAUGCAAGUCGAACGGAAAGGCCCUGCUUUUGUGGGGUGCUCGAGUGGCGAACGGGUGAGUAACACGUGAGUAACCUGCCCUUGACUUUGGGAUAACUUCAGGAAACUGGGGCUAAUACCGGAUAGGAGCCCCCGCUGCAUGGUGGGGGUUGGAAAGUUUCGGCGGUUGGGGAUGGACUCGCGGCUUAUCAGCUUGUUGGUGGGGUAGUGGCUUACCAAGGCUUUGACGGGUAGCCGGCCUGAGAGGGUGACCGGCCACAUUGGGACUGAGAUACGGCCCAGACUCCUACGGGAGGCAGCAGUGGGGAAUAUUGCACAAUGGGCGGAAGCCUGAUGAAGCAACGCCGCGUGCGGGAUGACGGCCUUCGGGUUGUAAACCGCUUUCGCCUGUGACGAAGCGUGAGUGACGGUAAUGGGUAAAGAAGCACCGGCUAACUACGUG
This 468-nucleotide ribosomal RNA is filed under the name uncultured bacterium. RNAcentral's name for it is "partial 16S ribosomal RNA". It matches the Rfam family "Bacterial small subunit ribosomal RNA", at positions 28 to 507 of the family's 1533-position model. The record is from RNAcentral.